GGGCUUCAGGCAGCUAUCCGCAAGCCUUUGGAGCACGGCAGGAAUUCCCGCUGCCUCCAAAGGCUUGCGGAUGGCCGUCUGAAGCCU
Molecule: non-coding RNA, 87 nt
Organism: Podarcis lilfordi (Lilford's wall lizard)
Lineage: Eukaryota; Metazoa; Chordata; Lepidosauria; Squamata; Lacertidae
Source: the annotation of a GenBank genome assembly